AAUAGAUACCCUGGUAGUCCACGCCGUAAACGAUGAGUGCUAAGUGUUAGAGGGUUUCCGCCCUUUAGUGCUGCAGCUAACGCAUUAAGCACUCCGCCUGGGGAGUACGGCCGCAAGGCUGAAAACUCAAAGGAAUUGACGGGGGCCCGCACAAGCGGUGGAGCAUGUGGUUUAAUUCGAAGCAACGCGAAGAACCUUACCAGGUCUUGACAUCCUCUGACAACCCUAGAGAUAGGGCUUUCCCCUUCGGGGGACAGAGUGACAGGUGGUGCAUGGUUGUCGUCAGCUCGUGUCGUGAGAUGUUGGGUUAAGUCCCGCAACGAGCGCAACCCUUGAUCUUAGUUGCCAGCAUUCAGUUGGGCACUCUAAGGUGACUGCCGGUGACAAACCGGAGGAAGGUGGGGAUGACGUCAAAUCAUCAUGCCCCUUAUGACCUGGGCUACACACGUGCUACAAUGGAUGGUACAAAGGGCUGCAAACCUGCGAAGGUAAGCGAAUCCCAUAAAGCCAUUCUCAGUUCGGAUUGC
RNAcentral lists this ribosomal RNA (527 nucleotides) under uncultured bacterium. RNAcentral describes it as "bacterial SSU rRNA". It matches the Rfam family "Bacterial small subunit ribosomal RNA", at positions 777 to 1301 of the family's 1533-position model. The record is from RNAcentral.